This 244-nucleotide ribosomal RNA is filed under the name uncultured bacterium. Its description in RNAcentral is "partial 16S ribosomal RNA". It matches the Rfam family "Bacterial small subunit ribosomal RNA", at positions 355 to 616 of the family's 1533-position model. The record is from RNAcentral.
UGGGGAAUAUUGGACAAUGGGGGCAACCCUGAUCCAGCAAUGCCGCGUGUGUGAAGAAGGUCUUCGGAUUGUAAAGCACUUUCGACGGGGACGAUGAUGACGGUACCCGUAGAAGAAGCCCCGGCUAACUUCGUGCCAGCAGCCGCGGUAAUACGAAGGGGGCUAGCGUUGCUCGGAAUGACUGGGCGUAAAGGGCGUGUAGGCGGUUUACACANUCAGAUGUGAAAUCCCCGGGCUUAACCUG